This 253-nucleotide ribosomal RNA is filed under the name uncultured bacterium. RNAcentral describes it as "partial 16S ribosomal RNA". It matches the Rfam family "Bacterial small subunit ribosomal RNA", at positions 524 to 776 of the family's 1533-position model. The record is from RNAcentral.
UACGUAGGGGGCAAGCGUUGUCCGGACUUACUGGGCGUAAAGGGUGCGUAGGCGGCCUGCUGCGUCGGUGCUGAAAGCGCCCGGCUUAACCGGGCGAGGCGUGCCGAUACGAGCGGGCUGGAGCCUUGGCGAGGGUGGCGGAACUCCUGGUGUAGUGGUGAAAUGCGUAGAGAUCAGGAAGAACACCCGUGGCGCAAGCGGCCACCUGGCCAAGAGCUGACGCUGAGGCACGAGAGCGUGGGGAGCGAACCGG